This 77-nucleotide transfer RNA is filed under the name Geobacter sp. SVR. Its description in RNAcentral is "tRNA-Leu". It matches the Rfam family "tRNA". Rfam says of the family: Transfer RNA (tRNA) molecules are approximately 80 nucleotides in length. Their secondary structure includes four short double-helical elements and three loops (D, anti-codon, and T loops). The record is from RNAcentral. Lineage: Bacteria; Pseudomonadati; Thermodesulfobacteriota; Desulfuromonadia; Geobacterales; Geobacteraceae.
ACCCUUGUAGCCCAAUUGCCAGAGGCAGCGGGUUUAAGCCCCGCUCAGUGAAGGUUGGAAUCCUUCCAGGGGUACCA